GAUGAACGCUGGCGGCGUGCCUAAUACAUGCAAGUCGAGCGAACAGACGAGGAGCUUGCUCCUCUGACGUUAGCGGCGGACGGGUGAGUAACACGUGGAUAACCUACCUAUAAGACUGGGAUAACUUCGGGAAACCGGAGCUAAUACCGGAUAAUAUAUUGAACCGCAUGGUUCAAUAGUGAAAGACGGUUUUGCUGUCACUUAUAGAUGGAUCCGCGCCGCAUUAGCUAGUUGGUAAGGUAACGGCUUACCAAGGCAACGAUGCGUAGCCGACCUGAGAGGGUGAUCGGCCACACUGGAACUGAGACACGGUCCAGACUCCUACGGGAGGCAGCAGUAGGGAAUCUUCCGCAAUGGGCGAAAGCCUGACGGAGCAACGCCGCGUGAGUGAUGAAGGUCUUCGGAUCGUAAAACUCUGUUAUUAGGGAAGAACAAAUGUGUAAGUAACUAUGAACGUCUUGACGGUACCUAAUCAGAAAGCCACGGCUAACUA
RNAcentral lists this ribosomal RNA (493 nucleotides) under uncultured bacterium. RNAcentral's name for it is "partial 16S ribosomal RNA". It matches the Rfam family "Bacterial small subunit ribosomal RNA", at positions 28 to 503 of the family's 1533-position model. The record is from RNAcentral.